This 1565-nucleotide ribosomal RNA is filed under the name Doryrhina cyclops (cyclops roundleaf bat). RNAcentral describes it as "Hipposideros cyclops (cyclops roundleaf bat) partial 16S ribosomal RNA". It matches the Rfam family "Bacterial large subunit ribosomal RNA", at positions 376 to 2853 of the family's 2925-position model. The record is from RNAcentral. Lineage: Eukaryota; Metazoa; Chordata; Mammalia; Chiroptera; Hipposideridae.
CAAGCACUAGCCCAACCCCCUCAAAACCCAACUUAAACAGACAAAUAAAACAAAACAUUUAUAUUCAUAAAAGUAUAGGAGAUAGAAAUUCUACUAUGGCGCUAUAGAGAUAGUACCGCAAGGGAACGAUGAAAGACAAGCUAUAAGUAAAAAACAGCAAAGAUUACCCCUUUUACCUUUUGCAUAAUGAAUUAACUAGCAACACUUAGCAAAGAGAACUUAAGCUAAGCACCCCGAAACCAGACGAGCUACCUAUAAACAGCUUUACUUAGAGCAAACCCGUCUAUGUGGCAAAAUAGUGGGAAGAUUUAUAGUUAGAGGUGAAAAGCCUACCGAGCCUGGUGAUAGCUGGUUGUCCAGAAAAGAAUGUCAGUUCAAAUUUAAACCUUACCUGAAAAACCAACAAUUAUAAUGUAAGUUUAAAGAAUAGUCUAAAGAGGGACAGCCCUUCAGACACAGGAUACAACCUUAAUUAGAGAGUAAGCAUUAACAACACCAUAGUUGGCCUAAAAGCAGCCACCAAUUAAGAAAGCGUUAAAGCUCAACAAUACCAUCAUCUUAAUACCCAAAAUAAAAACCAACUCCUAAUGCACAACUGGACUAUUCUAUUAUCAAAUAGAAGCAAUACUGUUAAUAUGAGUAACAAGAAUUAUUUCUCCCAGCACAAACCUAUAUCUGAACGGAUAACCCACUGAUAAUUAACAAUAAGAUGCCUACGCCCCAAAAACAAGACCACCAUCACCCAAAUUGUUAACCCAACACAGGAGUGCACUCAAGGAAAGAUUAAAAGAAGUAAAAGGAACUCGGCAAACACAAACCCCGCCUGUUUACCAAAAACAUCACCUCUAGCAUAAUAAGUAUUAGAGGCACUGCCUGCCCAGUGACACAAGUUAAACGGCCGCGGUAUCCUGACCGUGCAAAGGUAGCAUAAUCACUUGUUCUCUAAAUAAGGACUUGUAUGAAUGGCCACACGAGGGUUUUACUGUCUCUUACUUCCAAUCAGUGAAAUUGACCUUCCCGUGAAGAGGCGGGAAUACCCUAAUAAGACGAGAAGACCCUAUGGAGCUUCAAUUAACUAGCCCAAUAGAACUAUUACUACAAACCAACAGGCCCUAAAACGACUCUCUAUGAGCUAGCAAUUUAGGUUGGGGUGACCUCGGAGCACAAAAAAACCUCCGAGUGAUUAAAGCCUAGACCAACCAGUCAAAGCACCUUACAUCACUUAUUGAUCCAAAAACUUUGAUCAACGGAACAAGUUACCCUAGGGAUAACAGCGCAAUCCCAUUCAAGAGUCCAUAUCGACAAUGGGGUUUACGACCUCGAUGUUGGAUCAGGACAUCCCAAUGGUGUAGCAGCUAUUAACGGUUCGUUUGUUCAACGAUUAAAGUCCUACGUGAUCUGAGUUCAGACCGGAGUAAUCCAGGUCGGUUUCUAUCUAUUCUAAACUUCUCCCAGUACGAAAGGACAAGAGAAGUAAGGCCCACUUUACAAAAGCGCCUUAAAGCCAACAGAUGAUUUAAUCUCAAUCUGGUACGCUAAGACUACCCUGCCCAAGAAAAGGGCUU